This 795-nucleotide long non-coding RNA is filed under the name Scleropages formosus (Asian bonytongue). Its description in RNAcentral is "lncRNA (ENSSFOG00015028355.1)". The record is from RNAcentral. Lineage: Eukaryota; Metazoa; Chordata; Actinopteri; Osteoglossiformes; Osteoglossidae.
CGGCACUUAAGAAAUAUAACAGUAAACUGUCCAAAAUGUCAAUGCAUAUCCAAAACCGACUAAACUGAAUACAGAUUUUGACUAGAUGAGAAGUGCUAAUAUUAAUCUGCUCAUACCAGGUAUUAUUCCAUGGUCAGUUACAAAGUUCACCCCUUUUUUUAACAUUUGGUGCCUGUUUUCCUGCAACUGCCUUCAUGUCAGCCACUUACUAUAACAAGGUAAAAUCUGUGUCCGUUCAUCACAUCCUGCUGGAGUGGAAAGUGUGUUAGAAGUUUAAAGGAUGACGGUAUGGUGGUUUAUACUCCAGGGCCGAGUGCAGUGAGACCAUUUCGUGUGUGCUGGUCUCUCUUGGUUACACUGCCACUGGUAGCUGCUCUGCUGAGUGCCAUCGCUGUGCAUUGUCUCCAUCGGUGUGGAGAUGGCAGAGUUUUUAACUGCAGCUGCUGCUUGAGACGGAUGGAGACCAUGAAGACCGUGGACCUUCAGUACGCCAGCCUUCAGCUUUCAAGCAAAACACGGCCUCCUGUUCAGACAACAUGCUCAACCCCAGCGGCAGAUGCUGUCAUCUACAGCUCCGUGGCUAACCGUGGUACGGCUAAUAACCGCCCCUAAUUCCCUAAGAGUGACGAGGCUGCCGUAACCCCCAGAAGCGAUUCGUGAUGUGCUCAGAGCUGUGUUCCAUGACACUUCUGAAGUGUUAAACAACACGGUACCUGCUGUCAUAAUGUUCAAGUAAGGAACCGGCUAUCGCAGAGACUAAAUAAAUCUUCAUUUUCUGUAGCUCUGAAGUAACUU